AUACGUAGGUGACAAGCGUUAUCCGGAUUUACUGGGCGUAAAGGGCGUGUAGGCGGUCUUGCAAGUCAGCAGUGAAAUUCCUGAGCUCAACUCGGGCGCUGCUUCUGAAACUGCAGGACUUGAGUGCUGGAGGGGAUAGCGGAAUUCCUAGUGGAGCGGUAAAAUGCGCAGAUAUUAGGAAGAACACCGGUGGCGAAGGCGGCUAUCUGGACAGUAACUGACGCUGAGGCGCGAAAGCGUGGGGAGCAAACAGGAUUAGAUACCCUGGUAGUCCACGCUGUAAACGAUGAAUACUAGGUGUGGGGGGACUGACCCCCUCCGUGCCGCAGUUAACACAAUAAGUAUUCCACCUGGGGAGUACGAUCGCAAGAUUGAAACUCAAAUGAAUUGGCGGGG
RNAcentral lists this ribosomal RNA (396 nucleotides) under uncultured bacterium. Its description in RNAcentral is "partial 16S ribosomal RNA". It matches the Rfam family "Bacterial small subunit ribosomal RNA", at positions 523 to 918 of the family's 1533-position model. The record is from RNAcentral.